CCUACGGGAGGCAGCAGUGAGGAAUAUUGGUCAAUGGACGAGAGCCUGAACCAGCCAAGUCGCGUGAAGGAUGACUGCCCUAUGGGUUGUAAACUUCUUUUAUAUGGGAAUAAAAUGUUCCACGUGUGGGAUUUUGUAUGUACCCUAUGAAUAAGCAUCGGCUAACUCCGUGCCAGCAGCCGCGGUAAUACGGAGGAUCCGAGCGUUAUCCGGAUUUAUUGGGUUUAAAGGGUGCGUAGGGGGAUUGUUAAGUCAGUUGGUAAAGUUGGCGGCUCAACCGUAAAAGUGCAGUUGAAACUGGGAGCCUUGAGUAGAGGAGAGGUAGGCGGAAUGCGUGGUGUAGCGGUGAAAUGCUUAGAUAUCACGAAGAACUCCGAUUGCGAAGGCAGCUCACUGGACUGCAACUGACACUGAGGCUCGAAAGUGUGGGUAUCAAACAGGAUUAGAUACCCCGGUAGUC
RNAcentral lists this ribosomal RNA (460 nucleotides) under uncultured bacterium. RNAcentral's name for it is "partial 16S ribosomal RNA". It matches the Rfam family "Bacterial small subunit ribosomal RNA", at positions 338 to 795 of the family's 1533-position model. The record is from RNAcentral.